This 253-nucleotide ribosomal RNA is filed under the name uncultured bacterium. Its description in RNAcentral is "partial 16S ribosomal RNA". It matches the Rfam family "Bacterial small subunit ribosomal RNA", at positions 524 to 776 of the family's 1533-position model. The record is from RNAcentral.
UACGAAGGGUGCAAGCGUUGUUCGGAAUUACUGGGCGUAAAGCGCGCGUAGGCGGACCUGCAAGUCGGGGGUGAAAGCCCGAGGCUUAACCUCGGAACUGCCUUCGAUACUGCGGGUCUCGAGUCCGGGAGAGGUGAGUGGAAUUCCUAGUGUAGAGGUGAAAUUCGUAGAUAUUAGGAAGAACACCAGUGGCGAAGGCGGCUCACUGGCCCGGUACUGACGCUGAGGCGCGAAAGCGUGGGGAGCAAACAGG